RNAcentral lists this long non-coding RNA (1132 nucleotides) under Struthio camelus australis. RNAcentral describes it as "lncRNA (ENSSCUG00000002545.1)". Lineage: Eukaryota; Metazoa; Chordata; Aves; Struthioniformes; Struthionidae. The record is from RNAcentral.
UAAUCUUAGGUUAACGCUCAAAAGGAGUUGCUAAGGCUUUGGAACAUCAGCUGAAGCCCCAAAUACCGGGAGCAUUCUCCAGGAAGUUGUACCCGUCAGCACCUGCUGAGGGCUUCGCUGAUGAAACUGACAGGUAAAAAAAAUUCCUGUAGAAUAAAGCCAGACCAGCUGGCUUUGAAGAGAAACCCCCCAGUUUGGGUUGUGUUUGCCUCACUCACCCUCUACUCUGCAGCCCGAGGCUUUUUCUGCUUUAGUCGUUGACCUGUAGGCUGCGUGAUGCGGGCGCGCAAGUGUCUGGCAGGCCGAGGUGCACCUGCUGCUGUCACUCCGGAGUAAAUUUAGCUGUGAAAGGUAUCACUGACAAGCAGACCUUUGUCAGCGCUGGCAAACGAACACAGAUUUCCCAUCCCUUCCCCCUCAAAGAACGCUGCGAGUUCAAAUGGAAAAUAUCGAAUCAGCCGUCUUAUCCAGAAAUCACUUCUUUGAGAAAGGAAGAGGCAAAAUUGCUUUCAUAUGGCAAAAAAGUUUCCUCCUUUACAUAGACGGUAAAAUUACAUUCCAAGAAUAAUCUCUGAACAAGACAAGUUUUUGUUCUAUUAAUUGUGGCUGGAAGGAAACUUUUUUAAUGGAAAUACAGCACACACAUAUUUCAAUUCAGGUUAUUAAACUGUGUUAAGUAUUAAAGUUGAUUGCCUUUCUUUUCACUAACUCAUUGUGCUUUUUUAUCCAAAGAAAUAUUAGAAGACUAAAACCUCUCAAAUAGGAGGUAUUAAUCUCAUUCCCAAAAUUAGAAAGCAUGCAGUGUUGAGAGACUGGAUGUCAAAAUUACAUGUUCAUAGCACUUGUGCUUUGGAAAUCUAGGAACCAACCAUUUUUAAAAUGGAAGCCAAAGUAAAAUGGAAAGCCUUCUGAGAGCGAAGCAAACUAAACGUGGUGUUCUUGUCCUUAUUGGAUUCAGGGGCACCCUUUCAGAUAAAAACGUGGACCUGAUUGGCAUCAUCCUGUAUCCAUGGAAACGUUAUUCUGAGGAGGAGAAAAAAAAGUGGUUCUGUAGGAACUCAGAAAAGAAGGGCCACAAACACUCAUUCCUAAAGUGUAAGCUACCAAGAAAAGACUACCAUCACUGAAUCAG